CGCUAGCGGCGCGCUUAAUGCAUGUAAGUCGAGCGAUGAGGCCCUCUUCGGGGGGUACAUCAGCGGCAGACGGGUGAGUAGCACGUAGGUGAUCUACCCCAGAGACGGGGAUAACGGACGGAAACGUCCGCUAAUACCGGAUGACCUUGUCAGGUCAAAGCGACAAGGAAAGGCUCCGGCGCUCUGGGAGGAGCCUGCGGCCCAUCAGCUAGUUGGCGGGGUAAAGGCCCACCAAGGCGAAGACGGGUAGGGGGUGUGAGAGCAUGGNCCCCCACAAUGGGACUGAAACACGGCCCAUACUCCUACGGGAGGCAGCAGCAGGGAAUAUUGCACAAUGGACGGAAGUCUGAUGCAGCGACGCCGCGUGGAUGAUGAAGGCCCUCGGGUUGUAAAAUCCUUUACAAGGGGACGAGGAAGGACGGUACCCUUGGAACAAGUGUCGGCUAACUACGUGCCAGCAGCCGCGGUAAGACGUAGGACACAAGCGUUAUCCGGAUUUACUGGGCGUAAAGCGUCUGCAGGCGGACAGGUACGUUGGGCGUGAAAGCUCCGGGCCCAACCCGGAGAGGUCGUUCAAUACUGCGUGUCUAGAGGGU
This 596-nucleotide ribosomal RNA is filed under the name uncultured organism. RNAcentral describes it as "bacterial SSU rRNA". It matches the Rfam family "Bacterial small subunit ribosomal RNA", at positions 34 to 649 of the family's 1533-position model. The record is from RNAcentral.